Long non-coding RNA from Patiria miniata (bat star), 733 nucleotides. RefSeq lists it as uncharacterized. Lineage: Eukaryota; Metazoa; Echinodermata; Asteroidea; Valvatida; Asterinidae. The record is from RefSeq and is a predicted model, not a curated record. The transcript has 3 exons.
AUCAGUCAUCGCUAAAUCCGAUCAUGUCAAUAACGUUUCCCUCAUCAUAACCCGCACAGUACCAGUACGUAUAGGACGUGGUGCGAAUAGUUUGAUGCGACUGCAUGUACAUGUACAUCAUUGCACCUGCAUAGCUAAGUCGUGAUCUUGAACGUACUCAACUACAGUUCUUGAUUGAACUCCUUGGCAAAGACAAUAAGCAACACGUGCUCAUACCCUGCACCGAGUCAAGUUCACUGAUAAACUACUCCACACACAAGAAAGAUCAACAUGCCUGACGUGUCCUUACCGAAGGUGAAAAAACCGAGCAAAUGCAAGCUGUGUUUCCUCCGUUGUUUUGCUUGCUGUUGUCCGUGCAUGAAGCCACGCCUACCAGGCCAGAAAAAGAAAUGUUGUUGCUGCUGACAGCGCUAACACUUGAUGGACGCCCUGAUGGCAUCCUUUAAUGGUCUACACAAUGUAAAAUUCAGUCAGCGAUCAAAAUGCAGUGUUGCAGUAUCUCAACCACCUGGAACAAUGAGAAUUGAGUUUUAUCAUUCAACAGCAAACGACUUGAACGGUGACGGGGGUUACGGCCUUGGAUAUUUUGUAUUUUUUUAAAAAGAGUUUUGCCGGCGUUUCAUGAUGUUCAUUAGUAAAGAACUUUAGUACUAUUUACCAGUAUUAAAUAAAGACAUGUCUCGUAUAACGCCGUUAAUUCUGUAGUGUUUUAAGUAAACAUAAUUCCGAUAAA